AUUAUUAAUAUUAAUGGGUAUAGCACUGAAUAUCGAAUGUAUUUUGAAAGGAGUAUGUAAGUACUUACUUUGGAUGUUUAAUCUCAAAAUAAUUAAUAUUGAUUGUUGUUAAAUUAAAAUAAAUUAUCAGACUUAUUGCGAUAAGGUG
This 148-nucleotide ribosomal RNA is filed under the name Pneumocystis sp. RNAcentral's name for it is "partial large subunit ribosomal RNA". The record is from RNAcentral. Lineage: Eukaryota; Fungi; Ascomycota; Pneumocystomycetes; Pneumocystales; Pneumocystaceae.